RNAcentral lists this ribosomal RNA (1226 nucleotides) under Halimeda lacunalis. RNAcentral's name for it is "SSU rRNA". It matches the Rfam family "Eukaryotic small subunit ribosomal RNA", at positions 576 to 1831 of the family's 1831-position model. Lineage: Eukaryota; Viridiplantae; Chlorophyta; Ulvophyceae; Bryopsidales; Halimedaceae. The record is from RNAcentral.
GCGGUAAUUCCAGCUCCAAUAGCGUAUAUGUAAAUUGUUGCGGUUGAAAAGCUCGUAGUUGGACUUCUGGCGACCGCGCUCGGUCCGCCAAGCGCGAGCACUGUCCGCGGUCGUCGUCUCUGUCGACGUGGCGCGCCGGACUUCACUGGCCGGUGCGUCGUCUGUCGGCGAUGUUACUUUGAGGAAAUCAGAGUGCUCAAAGCAAGCGAUCGCUCGUGACUUCACUAGCAUGGAAUAACACAGAUGGGCUCUUUCUCGCACUGUUGGUCUGCGUCAAUUGAGCAACGAUCGAUAGAGACGGUCGGGGGCAUUCGUAUUGCGCAGUUAGAGGUGAAAUUCUCCGAUCUGCGCAAGACGCACUAAUGCGAAAGCAGUUGCCAAGGACGUCCUCUUAUGAUCAAGAGCGAAAGUCGGGGGAUCAAAGAUGAUUAGAUACCGUCGUAGUCCCGACCAUAAAUGAUGCCGACUGAGCUUCGGCGACUCGACCACAGGUCGUACGUCGGCGCUCUUAGAGAAAUUAAAGUCUUUGGGCUCCGGGGGUAGUAUGGUCGCAAGUCUGAAACUUGAAGGAAUUGACGGAAGGGCACCACAAGGCGUGGAUGUUGCGGCUUAAUUUGACUCAACACGGGAAAGCUUACUAGGUUUGGACACCUUUGUGAUGGACAGAUUGAAGCUCUUACCCUACUGCGUGGAUGGUGGUGCAUGGUCGUUCUCAGCCCGUGGGUUGACCUGUCAGGUUUACUCCGGUAACGCGCGAGACCUCGGUCUGCUAAAUAGACGCGGCUGUCACGGCACCCGCGCUCUUCUUAGAGAGAGACUCGACGAGAGUCGAGGGAAGUCGAGGCAAUAACAGAUCUGUGAUGCCCUUAGUUAUCCUAGGUCGCACGCGCCAUACAAUGUGGCGCACAACGAGUCUCCUUGGCCGACAGGAUCUGGGCAAUCUGGCAGAGCGCUACGUGACUGGGCUAGACUUUUGUAAUUUUUGGUCUUGAACGAGGAAUGCCUAGUAAUCGCAGGUCAGCAUCCUGCGAUGAUUCGGUCCCUGCCCUUUGUACACACCGCCCGUCGCUCCAUCCGUGGCAUGCGCCGGUGAAGAGGGGGAGGCAGCGUCGGCCGGGUAACACCGUAUCGUACGUGGAACCCCUCUGAACCUUCGCACGUAGAGGAAGGAGAAGUCGUAACAAGGUUUUCGUAGGUGAACCUGCGAAAGGAUCAUUAUCGGCACA